CGAACCUACGGGGGGCAGCAGUGAGGAAUAUUGGUCAAUGGGCGGGAGCCUGAACCAGCCAAGUCGCGUGAGGGAAGACGGUCCUACGGAUUGUAAACCUCUUUUGCCGGGGAGCAACGGGGUCCUUGCGAGGGCCCGAUGAGAGUACCCGGAGAAAAAGCAUCGGCUAACUCCGUGCCAGCAGCCGCGGUAAUACGGAGGAUGCGAGCGUUAUCCGGAUUUACUGGGUGUAAAGGGAGCGUAGACGGCAGCGCAAGUCUGGAGUGAAAUGCCGGGGCCCAACCCCGGAACUGCUUUGGAAACUG
Molecule: ribosomal RNA, 305 nt
Filed under: uncultured bacterium
Lineage: Bacteria
Description: bacterial SSU rRNA
Rfam family: Bacterial small subunit ribosomal RNA
Source: RNAcentral